CCGGCGCACGGGUGAGUAACGCGUAUGCAACCUGUCCGUUACAGGGGAAUAGCCCAUGGAAACGUGGAUUAAUGCUCCAUAAUAUAAUAUAGAGGCAUCUUUAUGUUAUUAAAUAUUUAUAGGUAACGGUUGGGCAUGCGUCCUAUUAGAUAGUUGGGGGGGUAACGGCCCACCAAGUCGAUGAUAGGUAGGGGUUCUGAGAGGAAGGUCCCCCACACUGGUACUGAGACACGGACCAGACUCCUACGGGAGGCAGCAGUGAGGAAUAUUGGUCAAUGGGCGAGAGCCUGAACCAGCCAAGUCGCGUGAGGGAUGACUGCCCUAUGGGUUGUAAACCUCUUUUGUAUGGGGGGAAUAAGCUUUACGAGUAGAGUGAUGACAGUACCAUACGAAUAAGCAUCGGCUAACUCCGUGCCAGCAGCCGCGGUAAUACGGAGGAUGCGAGCGUUAUCCGGAUUUAUUGGGUUUAAAGGGUGCGUAGGCGGCAUUAUAAGUUAGUGGUAAAAUAUUGGGGCUUCACCUCACUACGCCAUUAAUACUGUAGAGCUAGAGAACAGACGAGGUAGGCGGAAUAAGUUAAGUAGCGGUGAAAUGCAUAGAUAUAACUUAGAACACCGAUAGCGAAGGCAGCUUACCAGACUGAGUCUGACGCUGAUGCACGAGAGCAUGGGUAGCGAACAGGAUUAGAUACCCUGGUAGU
RNAcentral lists this ribosomal RNA (700 nucleotides) under uncultured bacterium. RNAcentral describes it as "bacterial SSU rRNA". It matches the Rfam family "Bacterial small subunit ribosomal RNA", at positions 95 to 794 of the family's 1533-position model. The record is from RNAcentral.